AUUGAACGCUGGCGGCAGGCCUAACACAUGCAAGUCGAACGAGUGGCGGACGGGUGAGUAAUGUCUGGGAAACUGCCUGGUGGAGGGGGAUAACUACUGGAAACGGUAGCUAAUACCGCAUACCAUCAGAUGUGCCCAGAUGGGAUUAUCUUGUGGGUGGGGUAACGGCUCACCAAGGCGACGAUCCCUAGCUGGUCUGAGAGGAUGAUCAGCAUCACUGGAACUGGGACACGUUCCAGACUCCUACGGCAGGCAGCAGUGGGGACUAUUGCACAAUGGGCGCAAGCCUGAUGCAGCCAUGCCGCGUGUAUGAAGAAGGCCUUCGUGUUGUAAAGUACUUUCAGCUGGGAGGCGUUACCCGCUGAGGAAGCACCGGCUAACUCCGUGCCAGCAGCCGCGGUAAUAC
This 406-nucleotide ribosomal RNA is filed under the name uncultured bacterium. RNAcentral describes it as "partial 16S ribosomal RNA". It matches the Rfam family "Bacterial small subunit ribosomal RNA", at positions 30 to 526 of the family's 1533-position model. The record is from RNAcentral.